CUUGACCCACUACUCUGCGCCGUGUAAUUUGGGUUGGCUUUAUAAACUUGAAUCGGCGAAAUUAGCCUUUGAGUUAUUUAAAAAAUAUUACAUAUUAUUAUUAUUACAUACAAUUUAUAGAUAUUACAAAGAAAAGAAUGCCACGAACAUAUAAGGGAAUAACCAACAGACAAAAUUGGGACGCUGAGCAUAUGAAAAAUGCCAUACAAGAAGUUAAGCGAGGAAUGUCUGUUAAAACCGCUGCGCGAAUCUUCCAGGUGCCAAGAAUAUCGCUGAAACGGCGUGUAAUGGACAAAAAUAAGGUAGCAAAGCUAGAGAAGAAGUCACUAGGUAGCUGCCACCCUGUAUUUUCCCAGAACAAGAACUAGUAAGGCAUAUCCUAGAUUUUGAAAGUAGGAUGUAUGGACUCACCUUGCGUGAUUUGCGGCAAUUAGCGUAUCAGCUUGCUGAAAAAAAAAACAAACUGCCCCACAAGUUUUCAGUUUUCCCAUUUCGAAAAAGCUGCUGGUAAAGAUUGGUUGUAUGGUUUUAGAAGAAGACACCCAGAAAUUUCCUUGAGCUGUCCUGAAGCGACCUCGGCUGCUAGAGCAAGAGCCUUCAACAAACAGGUUGUGACAAAGUUCUUUAAUCUGUUAAGAGAGAUUUAUGCACAAAAUAAUCAUGCUCCUCACUAAGUUUAUAACGUAGAUGAGACUUCGAUUUCUACUGUUCCCGGGCGCAAUUUAAGAAUAUUAGCAAAAAAGGUUCCAAACAAGUUGCGAGGGUAACAUCAGCGGAGCGCGGAAUUUCGACGACAGCUGUAGUUUGUGUCAGUUGCAGGAAGUUUUGUACCACCAAUGCUCAUUUUCAGCAGGAAGCGAAUGAAAGCUGAACUGACAGACAGAGCUCCUCCGGGUACCAUAUUUGCUUGUAAUGAAAGUGGUUGGAUGCGUACAGAAGUUUUUAAGCAGUGGUUUGCUCAUUUCGUAUCUUUUGUGAAGUGAAGCCAAGUAUCCAUGAGCCCGCCUUAUUUAUAUUAGAUGGAUAUUUAUCGCACACCAGAAAUCUCGAUUUAAUUGUUAGUACUAGAGAAAAAUUUAUAACCAUCUUAUAACCUAAAUUGUUAAAAAUAAAUUACGUGUGAGUUCUUA
Diabrotica virgifera virgifera (western corn rootworm) is the source of this 1130-nucleotide long non-coding RNA. RefSeq lists it as uncharacterized. Lineage: Eukaryota; Metazoa; Arthropoda; Insecta; Coleoptera; Chrysomelidae. The record is from RefSeq and is a predicted model, not a curated record. The transcript is spliced from 2 exons.